UACGGGGGGGGCAAGCGUUGUUCGGAAUUACUGGGCGUAAAGGGCCAGUAGGCGGCCAACUAAGUCGGAUGUGAAAUCCCCAGGCUCAACUUGGGAACUGCAUCCGAUACUGGAUGGCUUGAAUUCGGGAGAGGGAUGCAGAAUUCCAGGUGUAGCGGUGAAAUGCGUAGAUAUCUGGAGGAACACCGGUGGCGAAGGCGGCAUCCUGGACCGGUAUUGACGCUGAGGCGCGAAAGCUAGGGGAGCAAACGGG
RNAcentral lists this ribosomal RNA (253 nucleotides) under uncultured bacterium. RNAcentral's name for it is "partial 16S ribosomal RNA". It matches the Rfam family "Bacterial small subunit ribosomal RNA", at positions 524 to 776 of the family's 1533-position model. The record is from RNAcentral.